RNAcentral lists this ribosomal RNA (1032 nucleotides) under Staphylococcus aureus. RNAcentral's name for it is "partial 23S ribosomal RNA". It matches the Rfam family "Bacterial large subunit ribosomal RNA", at positions 525 to 1561 of the family's 2925-position model. Lineage: Bacteria; Bacillati; Bacillota; Bacilli; Caryophanales; Staphylococcaceae. The record is from RNAcentral.
CCCGGAAGGGGAGUGAAAUAGAACCUGAAACCGUGUGCUUACAAGUAGUCAGAGCCCGUUAAUGGGUGAUGGCGUGCCUUUUGUAGAAUGAACCGGCGAGUUACGAUUUGAUGCAAGGUUAAGCAGUAAAUGUGGAGCCGUAGCGAAAGCGAGUCUGAAUAGGGCGUUUAGUAUUUGGUCGUAGACCCGAAACCAGGUGAUCUACCCUUGGUCAGGUUGAAGUUCAGGUAACACUGAAUGGAGGACCGAACCGACUUACGUUGAAAAGUGAGCGGAUGAACUGAGGGUAGCGGAGAAAUUCCAAUCGAACCUGGAGAUAGCUGGUUCUCUCCGAAAUAGCUUUAGGGCUAGCCUCAAGUGAUGAUUAUUGGAGGUAGAGCACUGUUUGGACGAGGGGCCCCUCUCGGGUUACCGAAUUCAGACAAACUCCGAAUGCCAAUUAAUUUAACUUGGGAGUCAGAACAUGGGUGAUAAGGUCCGUGUUCGAAAGGGAAACAGCCCAGACCACCAGCUAAGGUCCCAAAAUAUAUGUUAAGUGGAAAAGGAUGUGGCGUUGCCCAGACAACUAGGAUGUUGGCUUAGAAGCAGCCAUCAUUUAAAGAGUGCGUAAUAGCUCACUAGUCGAGUGACACUGCGCCGAAAAUGUACCGGGGCUAAACAUAUUACCGAAGCUGUGGAUUGUCCUUUGGACAAUGGUAGGAGAGCGUUCUAAGGGCGUUGAAGCAUGAUCGUAAGGACAUGUGGAGCGCUUAGAAGUGAGAAUGCCGGUGUGAGUAGCGAAAGACGGGUGAGAAUCCCGUCCACCGAUUGACUAAGGUUUCCAGAGGAAGGCUCGUCCGCUCUGGGUUAGUCGGGUCCUAAGCUGAGGCCGACAGGCGUAGGCGAUGGAUAACAGGUUGAUAUUCCUGUACCACCUAUAAUCGUUUUAAUCGAUGGGGGGACGCAGUAGGAUAGGCGAAGCGUGCGAUUGGAUUGCACGUCUAAGCAGUAAGGCUGAGUAUUAGGCAAAUCCGGUACUCGUUAAGGCUGAGC